Long non-coding RNA from Populus nigra (black poplar), 196 nucleotides. RefSeq lists it as uncharacterized. The record is from RefSeq and is a predicted model, not a curated record. The transcript has 2 exons. Lineage: Eukaryota; Viridiplantae; Streptophyta; Magnoliopsida; Malpighiales; Salicaceae.
UGGAGAUUCCAUAAAGUAUCAAACUUGAAUGACAGUUUUCUUUGCGAAUUAAAGGUCAAUUAACCUUUCUGGGGUAUGGAAAUUCUUACUUCCAGCACCGUACUAUGCCGUCUUGUUGUAAAUCUGAGGUCGAUAUUAGCUGAAAAUGUAUCGAAUUCUUGAACUUGCUGAUGAAUAUAACGACAAUCCACUUUAA